This 4227-nucleotide ribosomal RNA is filed under the name Ganoderma lingzhi. RNAcentral's name for it is "large subunit ribosomal RNA". The stretch from base 3 to 2739 matches the Rfam family "Bacterial large subunit ribosomal RNA". The record is from RNAcentral. Lineage: Eukaryota; Fungi; Basidiomycota; Agaricomycetes; Polyporales; Polyporaceae.
CAAACAGUAAUUCAAAGGGGUUAUUAAGGAAAAACUAGCAAAUUUAUAAAAAAGGAGGGCACAAGUCCAAAAGCCACAAUUUACCGAAAGGUGAUCAAGUUUCAUUAGAUUUAUUUAAUGUUGACAAAGAAUGUAGGCGAUCCUAAGGGAAACCUUUAUAUUUAAACUUCCCGAAGUAAAACAUUUCAUUAGGGAAAGGAAAGGAAAUCAACCGAGACUCCGAAAGUAAUGGCGAGUGAAAUCGGACUAGCCUUUAUUUAAAAAUAAAUUUAACAAAAAUACACACCAGAAACCAAAGAAGGUAAAACAGUCCUGUAUGUUAAAUCUUUUUAAAACUAAUGUUUAAAUAAGUAUUAUUAAAUUAAAAUUUAUUUAAAUAAUGAGUACGACGAGAGCGAACUUGUCGGAAUAUAGGGGAACCAUCCUCUAAGGCUAAGUAUUUAUAAAUUUAGCGAUAGUGAAAAGUACCGUGAGGGAAAGUUUGAAAUAGUUAUGUAAUUUUAGACAUAAAUGAAAUAGUUGAAUUAGUAACUCUAUAAGCAGUCGAAAUUUAUAAUUAUAAAUGACGGCGUACCUUUUGCAUAAUGGGUCAGCAAGUUAAUAGGAGUAGCAAGGUUAAAAGCCUUAGUGAAAGCGACCACACUAACUAGCUAAAAGUAUUCUUAAUUUCAUAGAUAUUAAGAAUAGGAUAUCCUUCAUAGUCAUAAGGCUAAGAAGUUAAAUAUUUUCUAGGAAUAUAGUGAUGGGUAAGUUACUUCUAUUAGACCCGAAGCUAGGUGAUCUUCCUAAGACCAGAUUAUAAUGGAUCGAACGGGUGAAUGUAGCAAAAUUCUCCGAAGAGUUUUAGGAAGCGGUGAAAUGCCAAUCUGACCUAGUGAUAGCUGGUUUUCUACGAAACAUAUGUAAGUAUGACAUCUAAACAAAAUUUAUGGUGGUACAGCACUGAGUUCCCAACUAUUUCUUUUUUUUAAAGAAAAGUUUAGGUUGCGGGGACGUCGAAAAUCUUACCAAUGGAAGAGAAUCUCGGAAUGACAUAAAUUGAUGAUAGAUAUUCAGACUGCUCAUGCGAAGUUGGGUAGUCAAGACGGAAACAGCCGAGAACACGAAACAAGGUCCCAAAUGAUUUUUAAGUGAAAUGAAGGAAGUAAUAUAUUGAAUGCAGCUGUAAAGUGAGCCUGGUAGUCGCUAUCUUUUAAUAAACGUAAUGUAACAACGUAGCAGCCUUAAACAAUAGAAUAUUACACCAAAAAUUUAACGGGUCUCAAAAAAUCAACCGAUAUCGUGUUUAUUUUGAAUAAUAAAAAUUAAUAUUCAAUAUACAGGUAGUAGAACAUUCAGUAUACUGAUGAUAAAACAGUGUUUCAUUGUUUUUAGGUCACUGAAGAGAGAAUGCUGACAUGAGUAACGUAAAAAGAAGUUAUAAUACUUCUCGCCGAAUACGAAAGGGUUGUAAGGAAAGGUUAAACCACCUUAUGUUAAUGCGGCCUCUAAGGAACAAAACCAAAGUUUUGUCUGAUGAGUAUGAAUUAGAAAGUCCAUUUUUAAAAAUAAAAAUUUAAUAAAGGGACCAGGAAAAGAAUAUAUUCUUAACUACCGUACCCUAAACCGACACAGGUUCGUAAGUAGAGUAUACUAAGGCGUAGAGCUAAAAGUUGUUAAGGAACUCGGCAAGUUCUCCUCAUAAGUUUGACGAUAAGAGGAACCCGAUAAGGGUGGCACAAAAUCGGAGGCCCCGACUGUUUACUAAAAACACAAUUCAGAGCAAUGAUGAAAAAUCAUAGUAUUCUGGAUGAAAUUUGCCCAAUGCCAUUAACAUAAAAGAGGUUAUGGGUAACUGUAACUGAUUGAAAGUCUGGUUAAUAGCGGUCUUAACUAUGAGGAUCCAAAGGUAGCAAAAUAAAUUGGCCAUUAAAUGUGGUCUGGUAUCAAUAGUGUAACGAUGGUCUCACUGUCUCUACAACUUGCUCAGUGAAAUUGAAUUACCCGUGCAGAUGCGGGUUGCCUCCAGGUGGACGGGAAGACCCUAUGCAGCUUUACUGUAGUUAGCUAUCAUAUUGAUCUACAACAACCUUAGUUAAUAGUAAUUAGGGAUGUCGAAUUGACGAAAGAUGGAAUACCUUCUGACUUUGGUUGGGUUAAUAUUUACCUUUUUAAGUAAAAUAUUAUAUAUGACUCAAAAUUUUCUUUUGUUUAUUCUAUUCAUAUUCUGUUAUAUAGUGUAAUAUGGUAUAAAGCUUAUAAGGGAUAGGUGGCUAAUUGGCAGUUUGACUGGGGCGGUCGUCUUUGAUAAAGUAGCAAAGUACAUCCAAAGAUAUUUAUUUAUUAGAAACAAUCUUUUUUUAAAAAGAUACUUACUAAAAAUUCAUAGUAUCUAUAUAAACUAUGAAGAAUAUAAUUUAUUAUAUUUUUAUUAACUUAAGGUAUAGCUAGAAAAUUGAAUGGAAAUCAAUCAACCAGUGUGAAAGGUUGUAAUAGGCGUAAUGGCGGAAAGCAUGCCUAACUGAAAGACUUAGAAGUCGAACAGAUACGUAAGUAGGGCAUAGUGACCCUUCGCUAUAUUAUGGAAUAGACGGGGAUCAAUCGAUAAAAGUUACGCUAGGGAUAACAGGCUGAUAGCUGGUGAGAGUACACAUUGUCCCGGCUGUUUGGCACCUUGGAUAUAUUAUAUUAAAUUUAUAAAUACCACAUAAAAGAAUCAGUAUCUCAUUAUUUUGUUUGCUUCGAGCAAGAGAUAGUUCUUAAAAUUAUAAGAGCCCAAUUAUUUUAAUAAUUAAUCUAAAAUGAAUAAACCUAUAAUUGAAAUGUUAGUAGGAAAUCUUCUAGGAGAUGCCUCUAUCAAAAAAACAGUAUCUGGUAAAGCUUAUAUAACAUUUGAACAGUCUAUAAAAAAAUCUGAUUAUUUAAAUCACUUGUAUGAGCUAGUAAAAAGUAGUGGAAUACCUUUAAAAAAAGAAUCUCCUACUGUUUACUCUAGAGACGAUGAUAGAUUUGGAACUACAAAUAAAUCAUUAUAUUUUAGAACUGAGGCAGUAGAAGAAUUAAAACCUUUAGCCGAUUUAUUCUUGGAUGAAUCUGGGAAAAAAAUAAUACCUAGAAAUAUUUCUGAGUAUUUAACAGAAAAAGGCUUAGCUCAUUGGAUCAUGGAUGAUGGCCAAAGAGUAAAAAGAGGAGGUGUAACUUUAUGUACCGAUAGUUUUAACUCGGAAGAAGUAAGCAUACUUAGAGAUGCUUUAAAAAUUAAUUUUAAUUUUAAUACUUCUAUUCAUAAUAAAACAUCUAGCAAUGGAUCGGUUUAUGAAAGAAUAUAUAUAAAGAAAGAAUCUUUAGAUUCAAUUAUACCAACAUUGAAUACGCAUAUGCAUGAUUCAAUGCUUUAUAAAAUAAACUUAGAUAGAGUUUUUAGACAAGAUACUGAAGGCUUUAUAAGUGAUUCAGAUGUCAUAACUGAUAUAGAUAUGUUUGACGUUUAAAUUUAUAAUCUUAAUAAGCAAAUAUACAUCGGGGACUAUAAAUAGAAAUGUUUAUAUAAAAAUUGGCUAUAUGCUGGAACCCCCUAAAGCUUUAAGUACUCAUUUAUUUUUAUAAAUUGUAAUAAUCUUAAAGAUUGGGCAAUCAGCAGGGAAGUUACCUUUUUAGGUUAUAGCAACUGUAAAAUUUGUAACCCCUCAACGACUACACGCCAACACCCAGAGCUAACAUAAAGGUAUUCUUAUGCUGGGUGAAGAUAUAGUCUAAUCUUAACCGAAAGAUUAAGCCCAUCCUCAUAUGAGGUGGGAGUAUAUAUUUUAUAUACUAAUAUUGCGAUGUCGACUCAACCUAUCCUCCGGGGGUAGAAGCUUGGAAGGGUUCGGCUGUUCGCCGAUUAAAAGGUUACGCGAGUUGGGUUUAAUACGACGUGAGUCAGUAUGGUCCCUAUCUUCUGGAGGGAUAAAUAGUAAAAAGGGGCAGACCUUCUAGUACGAAAGGAUCAAUAGGCUGUGUUUCUCUAGUGUACCAAUUGUAAUUCUCUAUUCUAAAAAUUUUUAAAGGAUUAAAGAAAGAUUAAAGCAUAGUUGGGUAGCCACAAACAUGAUAGAUAAGCGCUGAAUGAAUAUUAAGCAGGAAGCUAUCCCCUAGAUACUAUCUUAUUGAUUAUCUUUUUAAUUGAUAUUUUAUUAGUUUUCUUUUUAAUCAAUGUGAAUAAGAAAUAGAACAUUUCUAAAUAGGAUGCAAAUGAAAGUGCUGUAA